UUGUAUUUUUUUAACACAUGAUUUUUGGGGUUUUACUUGUUCUAUAGAAAUGAAAUGAGAAUGAUGCAUAGUAUAGAAUUUGUAUUUAUGGUAUAUGCAUAACAUGCUGAAUUUUUAUAACUUAGCAUUGAAUUUGACUUAUUUUUGAAUGGUUUUGCAUAUGAUGUGAAUCUAUGUGCAUGUGCUAAAUUUUAGAAGUGAAUGGUAUGAAUUUAAGAUGACUUUUCAUGUGUAUUUGUAAAAGGCCAUGAUGCUAAACUUUGUUAUGUAAGUGCUGAAUUUUUAGAAGUGAAUGUAAUUUCUAAUUUGUUUUUAUUAUUUUCUUUGCAACAUGGUACAUGGUAAUGGAGCAUGAAAAAGCAUGGUCAAGAAUGGAGUAUGAAUGAAGAUUAUUGAAGAACUUGGAGUUAUUUUUAUUCUUUUGUGCAUGAAAACUAGGUAAUAUGCUUGUAAUGACAUAAAGUGAUGUAAAGUGAAGUUAUGUAAAUGUAAAGAUAAUAUUUAGUGAUUUUUGAACCUUAUGUAUAUGGAUUGAAAGACCAUGAAUAAA
RNAcentral lists this long non-coding RNA (550 nucleotides) under Lathyrus oleraceus (garden pea). RNAcentral's name for it is "Pisum sativum (pea) long non-coding RNA (PSAT_LNC037126)". The record is from RNAcentral. Lineage: Eukaryota; Viridiplantae; Streptophyta; Magnoliopsida; Fabales; Fabaceae.